GAGUUUGAUCUUGGCUCAGAUUGAACGCUGGCGGCAUGCCUUACACAUGCAAGUCGAACGGCAGCACGGGAGCUUGCUCCUGGCGGCGAGUGGCGAACGGGUGAGUAAUGCAUCGGAACGUAUCCUGGAGUGGGGGAUAACGUAGCGAAAGUUACGCUAAUACCGCAUAUUCUGUGAGCAGGAAAGCGGGGGACCUUCGGGCCUCGCGCUCUUGGAGCGGCCGAUGUCGGAUUAGCUAGUUGGUGAGGUAAAGGCUCACCAAGGCGACGAUCCGUAGCAGGUCUGAGAGGAUGAUCUGCCACACUGGAACUGAGACACGGUCCAGACUCCUACGGGAGGCAGCAGUGGGAAUUUUGGACAAUGGGGGCAACCCUGAUCCAGCCAUGCCGCGUGAGUGAAGAAGGCCUCGGUU
Molecule: ribosomal RNA, 412 nt
Filed under: bacterium enrichment culture clone ALO1_GLFRUDD03GBCMO
Lineage: Bacteria
Description: bacterial SSU rRNA
Rfam family: Bacterial small subunit ribosomal RNA
Source: RNAcentral